Molecule: ribosomal RNA, 2925 nt
Filed under: Escherichia coli
Lineage: Bacteria; Pseudomonadati; Pseudomonadota; Gammaproteobacteria; Enterobacterales; Enterobacteriaceae
Description: partial 23S ribosomal RNA
Rfam family: Bacterial large subunit ribosomal RNA
Source: RNAcentral
GGGUUGUGAGGUUAAGCGACUAAGCGUACACGGUGGAUGCCCUGGCAGUCAGAGGCGAUGAAGGACGUGCUAAUCUGCGAUAAGCGUCGGUAAGGUGAUAUGAACCGUUAUAACCGGCGAUUUCCGAAUGGGGAAACCCAGUGUGAUUCGUCACACUAUCAUUAACUGAAUCCAUAGGUUAAUGAGGCGAACCGGGGGAACUGAAACAUCUAAGUACCCCGAGGAAAAGAAAUCAACCGAGAUUCCCCCAGUAGCGGCGAGCGAACGGGGAGCAGCCCAGAGCCUGAAUCAGUGUGUGUGUUAGUGGAAGCGUCUGGAAAGGCGCGCGAUACAGGGUGACAGCCCCGUACACAAAAAUGCACAUACUGUGAGCUCGAUGAGUAGGGCGGGACACGUGGUAUCCUGUCUGAAUAUGGGGGGACCAUCCUCCAAGGCUAAAUACUCCUGACUGACCGAUAGUGAACCAGUACCGUGAGGGAAAGGCGAAAAGAACCCCGGCGAGGGGAGUGAAAAAGAACCUGAAACCGUGUACGUACAAGCAGUGGGAGCACGCUUAGGCGUGUGACUGCGUACCUUUUGUAUAAUGGGUCAGCGACUUAUAUUCUGUAGCAAGGUUAACCGAAUAGGGGAGCCGAAGGGAAACCGAGUCUUAACUGGGCGUUAAGUUGCAGGGUAUAGACCCGAAACCCGGUGAUCUAGCCAUGGGCAGGUUGAAGGUUGGGUAACACUAACUGGAGGACCGAACCGACUAAUGUUGAAAAAUUAGCGGAUGACUUGUGGCUGGGGGUGAAAGGCCAAUCAAACCGGGAGAUAGCUGGUUCUCCCCGAAAGCUAUUUAGGUAGCGCCUCGUGAAUUCAUCUCCGGGGGUAGAGCACUGUUUCGGCAAGGGGGUCAUCCCGACUUACCAACCCGAUGCAAACUACGAAUACCGGAGAAUGUUAUCACGGGAGACACACGGCGGGUGCUAACGUCCGUCGUGAAGAGGGAAACAACCCAGACCGCCAGCUAAGGUCCCAAAGUCAUGGUUAAGUGGGAAACGAUGUGGGAAGGCCCAGACAGCCAGGAUGUUGGCUUAGAAGCAGCCAUCAUUUAAAGAAAGCGUAAUAGCUCACUGGUCGAGUCGGCCUGCGCGGAAGAUGUAACGGGGCUAAACCAUGCACCGAAGCUGCGGCAGCGACGCUGAUGCGUUGUUGGGUAGGGGAGCGUUCUGUAAGCCUGCGAAGGUGUGCUGUGAGGCAUGCUGGAGGUAUCAGAAGUGCGAAUGCUGACAUAAGUAACGAUAAAGCGGGUGAAAAGCCCGCUCGCCGGAAGACCAAGGGUUCCUGUCCAACGUUAAUCGGGGCAGGGUGAGUCGACCCCUAAGGCGAGGCCGAAAGGCGUAGUCGAUGGGAAACAGGUUAAUAUUCCUGUACUUGGUGUUACUGCGAAGGGGGGACGGAGAAGGCUAUGUUGGCCGGGCGACGGUUGUCCCGGUUUAAGCGUGUAGGCUGGUUUUCCAGGCAAAUCCGGAAAAUCAAGGCUGAGGCGUGAUGACGAGGCACUACGGUGCUGAAGCAACAAAUGCCCUGCUUCCAGGAAAAGCCUCUAAGCAUCAGGUAACAUCAAAUCGUACCCCAAACCGACACAGGUGGUCAGGUAGAGAAUACCAAGGCGCUUGAGAGAACUCGGGUGAAGGAACUAGGCAAAAUGGUGCCGUAACUUCGGGAGAAGGCACGCUGAUAUGUAGGUGAAGUCCCUCGCGGAUGGAGCUGAAAUCAGUCGAAGAUACCAGCUGGCUGCAACUGUUUAUUAAAAACACAGCACUGUGCAAACACGAAAGUGGACGUAUACGGUGUGACGCCUGCCCGGUGCCGGAAGGUUAAUUGAUGGGGUUAGCGCAAGCGAAGCUCUUGAUCGAAGCCCCGGUAAACGGCGGCCGUAACUAUAACGGUCCUAAGGUAGCGAAAUUCCUUGUCGGGUAAGUUCCGACCUGCACGAAUGGCGUAAUGAUGGCCAGGCUGUCUCCACCCGAGACUCAGUGAAAUUGAACUCGCUGUGAAGAUGCAGUGUACCCGCGGCAAGACGGAAAGACCCCGUGAACCUUUACUAUAGCUUGACACUGAACAUUGAGCCUUGAUGUGUAGGAUAGGUGGGAGGCUUUGAAGUGUGGACGCCAGUCUGCAUGGAGCCGACCUUGAAAUACCACCCUUUAAUGUUUGAUGUUCUAACGUGGACCCGUAAUCCGGGUUGCGGACAGUGUCUGGUGGGUAGUUUGACUGGGGCGGUCUCCUCCUAAAGAGUAACGGAGGAGCACGAAGGUUGGCUAAUCCUGGUCGGACAUCAGGAGGUUAGUGCAAUGGCAUAAGCCAGCUUGACUGCGAGCGUGACGGCGCGAGCAGGUGCGAAAGCAGGUCAUAGUGAUCCGGUGGUUCUGAAUGGAAGGGCCAUCGCUCAACGGAUAAAAGGUACUCCGGGGAUAACAGGCUGAUACCGCCCAAGAGUUCAUAUCGACGGCGGUGUUUGGCACCUCGAUGUCGGCUCAUCACAUCCUGGGGCUGAAGUAGGUCCCAAGGGUAUGGCUGUUCGCCAUUUAAAGUGGUACGCGAGCUGGGUUUAGAACGUCGUGAGACAGUUCGGUCCCUAUCUGCCGUGGGCGCUGGAGAAUUGAGGGGGGCUGCUCCUAGUACGAGAGGACCGGAGUGGACGCAUCACUGGUGUUCGGGUUGUCAUGCCAAUGGCACUGCCCGGUAGCUAAAUGCGGAAGAGAUAAGUGCUGAAAGCAUCUAAGCACGAAACUUGCCCCGAGAUGAGUUCUCCCUGACUCCUUGAGAGUCCUGAAGGAACGUUGAAGACGACGACGUUGAUAGGCCGGGUGUGUAAGCGCAGCGAUGCGUUGAGCUAACCGGUACUAAUGAACCGUGAGGCUUAACCUUACAACGCCGAAG